GGUUUUCGUUUGAGCAUAUCAGCAUGAUUUAGUCACAGCACUGUGUAUUCUAGACACCAGGUUGGUUUGGCCACCAGCCAAGGGGUGUACGUAUCCGGAUAGGUCGUCGGUGACGCAUGAAUAAGCUCGCAGUGUCUGCUCUGUGACAGGCAACGCUUGAGGUCUGCGGACCAAUAUAGCAGUAUCAGAUUGGGUUUGGUUUUGGACUAUUCACCUUUGAGGCAUCUGAUCAGUUGAGUUUUUGGUUACAGUAGUAGUUUCAUUCUUGCUCAGUUAUUAUCCUGUUUCUAUUACUACUGUAGUUGCUUUUACGUCA
RNAcentral lists this long non-coding RNA (316 nucleotides) under Ananas comosus (pineapple). RNAcentral's name for it is "long non-coding RNA (ACOM_LNC035588)". The record is from RNAcentral. Lineage: Eukaryota; Viridiplantae; Streptophyta; Magnoliopsida; Poales; Bromeliaceae.